UCAAAGAUUAUACAAACAUUGUCAUUUUGGUUGUCAUUUUGGUUGUAUAAAAGAAACAUUUUAUAGAGAGUGGUCUCAACGCAUAUACCAAUAGACAUGAGCGCUUUAAAGGUUGCAUUCAUUGUCAUGAUGACAUUUAUUGGGUUAAAAUUGUGCGGAUCACAAGGCCCUCGUCAAAGUCCUAUAAGAAAAUGCGAAAACUGCAAAGAAGCACUUAAAAAAUUAUCUAUAAUGAAAAAAACCCAGAACAUUAAUCAAGAGAUCUGCAAAAGAUUUUCGUUUGGUUCAUUCAACUGGUGCGUAAGUAUGGUGAAAAAGGUAUCAAUGUCAUUAAGUGAAGGAAACACUUGUACUGAUCACCAUGAUAUCUGUAAGUGUCAUCAGUACUGUUAAACGAAAUCAAAAAGAUAAUCUAAAAGAUUGAACUGUUUCAUCGUUAAAAUGGCAAAAAAUUUCAUUAUUGUUACGUUUUUUUUUUUUGAUGUUUAUUGAUUAUUAUUAUAUAAAUGUUAAAAAUAAUGCAUAAAAAAUCAAAAAAUUACAUUUAUAUCAUUAUGUAAAUAGAUGUUACAAAGAUGUAUUUUAAAAAACAUAUAAGUUAUUAUAACCUAAACUAU
Hydra vulgaris (swiftwater hydra) is the source of this 617-nucleotide long non-coding RNA. RefSeq lists it as uncharacterized. Lineage: Eukaryota; Metazoa; Cnidaria; Hydrozoa; Anthoathecata; Hydridae. The record is from RefSeq and is a predicted model, not a curated record.